RNAcentral lists this ribosomal RNA (217 nucleotides) under uncultured bacterium. Its description in RNAcentral is "partial 16S ribosomal RNA". It matches the Rfam family "Bacterial small subunit ribosomal RNA", at positions 122 to 334 of the family's 1533-position model. The record is from RNAcentral.
UAACCUGCCUGGUAGCGGGGGAUAACUAUUGGAAACGAUAGCUAAUACCGCAUAAUAGUAGAUGUUGCAUGACAUUUACUUAAAAGGUGCAAUUGCAUCACUACCAGAUGGACCUGCGUUGUAUUAGCUAGUUGGUGGGGUAACGGCUCACCAAGGCGACGAUACAUAGCCGACCUGAGAGGGUGAUCGGCCACACUGGGACUGAGACGCGGCCCAG